Molecule: transfer RNA, 85 nt
Filed under: Nocardioides luteus
Lineage: Bacteria; Bacillati; Actinomycetota; Actinomycetes; Propionibacteriales; Nocardioidaceae
Description: tRNA-Leu
Rfam family: tRNA
About the family: Transfer RNA (tRNA) molecules are approximately 80 nucleotides in length. Their secondary structure includes four short double-helical elements and three loops (D, anti-codon, and T loops).
Source: RNAcentral
GCCGGAUUGGCGGAACGGCAUACGCGGCGGUCUCAAACACCGCUGCCCGAAAGGGCUUGUGGGUUCGAAUCCCACAUCCGGCACC